Molecule: ribosomal RNA, 253 nt
Filed under: uncultured bacterium
Lineage: Bacteria
Description: partial 16S ribosomal RNA
Rfam family: Bacterial small subunit ribosomal RNA
Source: RNAcentral
UACAGAGGGUGCGAGCGUUAAUCGGAAUUACUGGGCGUAAAGCGUGCGUAGACGGUUGCAUAAGUCGGAUGUGAAAGCCCCGGGCUCAACCUGGGAAUGGCAUUCGAGACUGUGUAGCUAGGGUACGGAAGAGGGAAGUGGAAUUUCCGGUGUAGCGGUGAAAUGCGUAGAUAUCGGAAGGAACACCAGUGGCGAAAGCGACUUCCUGGUCCAGUACCGACGUUCAGGCACGAAAGCGUGGGGAGCAAACAGG